Molecule: ribosomal RNA, 941 nt
Filed under: Bacillus amyloliquefaciens
Lineage: Bacteria; Bacillati; Bacillota; Bacilli; Caryophanales; Bacillaceae
Description: bacterial SSU rRNA
Rfam family: Bacterial small subunit ribosomal RNA
Source: RNAcentral
UUCUCUUUUUCCACCCCCCACCUCCACCCCCCUCUAAUGAGUUUUGUGUUUCUGCUCAGGACGAACGCUGGCGGCGUGCUAAUACAUGCAAGUCGAGCGGACAGAUGGGAGCUUGCUCCCUGAUGUUAGCGGCGGACGGGUGAGUAACACGUGGGUAACCUGCCUGUAAGACUGGGAUAACUCCGGGAAACCGGGGCUAAUACCGGAUGCUUGUUUGAACCGCAUGGUUCAGACAUAAAAGGUGGCUUCGGCUACCACUUACAGAUGGACCCGCGGCGCAUUAGCUAGUUGGUGAGGUAACGGCUCACCAAGGCGACGAUGCGUAGCCGACCUGAGAGGGUGAUCGGCCACACUGGGACUGAGACACGGCCCAGACUCCUACGGGAGGCAGCAGUAGGGAAUCUUCCGCAAUGGACGAAAGUCUGACGGAGCAACGCCGCGUGAGUGAUGAAGGUUUUCGGAUCGUAAAGCUCUGUUGUUAGGGAAGAACAAGUGCCGUUCAAAUAGGGCGGCACCUUGACGGUACCUAACCAGAAAGCCACGGCUAACUACGUGCCAGCAGCCGCGGUAAUACGUAGGUGGCAAGCGUUGUCCGGAAUUAUUGGGCGUAAAGGGCUCGCAGGCGGUUUCUUAAGUCUGAUGUGAAAGCCCCCGGCUCAACCGGGGAGGGUCAUUGGAAACUGGGGAACUUGAGUGCAGAAGAGGAGAGUGGAAUUCCACGUGUAGCGGUGAAAUGCGUAGAGAUGUGGAGGAACACCAGUGGCGAAGGCGACUCUCUGGUCUGUAACUGACGCUGAGGAGCGAAAGCGUGGGGAGCGAACAGGAUUAGAUACCCUGGUAGUCCACGCCGUAAACGAUGAGUGCUAAGUGUUAGGGGGUUUCCGCCCCUUAGUGCUGCAGGUAACGCAUAAGCACUCCGCCUGAGAUAACGGGCGUGGAAG